This 488-nucleotide ribosomal RNA is filed under the name uncultured soil bacterium. Its description in RNAcentral is "bacterial SSU rRNA". It matches the Rfam family "Bacterial small subunit ribosomal RNA", at positions 26 to 519 of the family's 1533-position model. The record is from RNAcentral.
AGAAUCAACGCUGGCGGCGUGCCUCAGACAUGCAAGUCGAACGAUUAAAGCUCUCUUCGGAGAGUGUAUAGAGUGGCGCACGGGUGAGUAACACGUAAGUAAUCUACCUUUGAGUGGGGAAUAACGUCCGGAAACGGACGCUAAUACCGCAUAAUGCAGCGGCAUCGCAAGAUGACAGUUGUUAAAGAUUUAUCGCUUGAAGAGGAGCUUGCGGCAGAUUAGCUUGUUGGUAAGGUAACGGCUUACCAAGGCUACGAUCUGUAACCGGUCUAAGAGGACGGUCGGUCACACUGACACUGAAUAACGGGUCAGACUCCUACGGGAGGCAGCAGUCGGGAAUUUUGGGCAAGUGGGCGAAAGCCUGACCCAGCAACGCCGCGUGAAGGAUGAAGUAUUUACGGUAUAGUAAACUUACGAAAGAAUAGGGAAAGAAUACAAUGAACGGUACCUAAUUUAUAAGGUCCGGACUAACUACGUGACCAGACACG